CUUCUCUUUUCCCUUCUUUUUUCUUUUUUUUCCAUUCUGUCUUUCUCUUUUUUUCCUCUUCUUUUUCUCUUGUCCUUUUCUUCCCCUCCUAGACAGCAGGCCACCGGCCCAGCCAGCCGCCCCACUUCCCCUCUCUCCCACCGGCCUGCCCAAUUUCCCCCGGCUGCCUCUCUCCUCCCGCUAGGCCAAGCCAUCAGCCCAGCCCACUUCUCCCGCUCGCUCCAUCCUUCCCUCCCCAUUAGGCUGAGGCCGCCAUGGCCCACAGCCGGCCACGAGUCCGCGAGCAUUGGCAUGUGAGGCGGCGAUGGGACGCGGAUUCA
This 320-nucleotide long non-coding RNA is filed under the name Oryza brachyantha (malo sina). Its description in RNAcentral is "long non-coding RNA (OBRA_LNC000141)". Lineage: Eukaryota; Viridiplantae; Streptophyta; Magnoliopsida; Poales; Poaceae. The record is from RNAcentral.